UUUGCAGCAUAGAACAAGGCAGCUUUCUUACCUUGCACUGUGCCGGUCACAAACCUAACAGAUUAUACUUAGAAAUGCCUUAAGAGUGCUUUAGCGAGUAUUUGGGAUUUUAUCGUGCGGAUUUAAGAAGCUGUUUUGUGCAGUUCGAUUUGAACUCCAACAUUUAAUGAAAGAAAUAUUGCAGAGACGUGAGCAAUUGCAACACGGUCAGAGCUCGUGGAAGGGCAGUUGUCCUCUACAUUGUGCCUUAUAAUUAAGAAGCUGCUACAUGCCUACAAUGUGCGGACUGCCCUGGUUCACCUUAAUUAGCAUCUGUGGAAAAAAUCCUUGGCUUCUCUAGCAACAAGACUGUUUCAGCAAGAAUGACCAGGACACCUGGGAGCAAAAGAAAGGUGGAUGAGGAGCUCAUGGUGAAAUAUUUCACAGGCACCUGAAGGCUGAAGUCUCGUAGAAGACUUGCAACAUAUGGAACAGUUAGCUGGUGGGCAGACCACAGGAAGCCCGGUGAUUUGCAGACAACCUGCAUGUUCUCCAGCAGUGGCAAGGUCGUCAGCUGCCAAGCCCACCCUACCGACCGCCUAGAACUGAGGUGAAUUUGCCUAAGAUGGAAGGUGUUCCUACUGUAAGAAGCACUUGGAAGAUGCGUAUCUCCUUAACAACUCAGGCCUUGCUAUGAACCAACUUACCUAUGCCAAAGCAAUCUAUGUUUUCUAGCCUUGCCACCUCUCUUAACUGAAAGGAAAUCAAAGAAAGACAUGCAUUAAUGAAAACAAAUUACAAAGGCUCAAAAGCAAAUAUUAUCCCUGCUGAGAGUAAGGAAUGUCCACAACAUUACUGUCCACAUUUGGGAAAAGGAGGACAUGCCAAAGGACAUCAAGGACACUCUAAUUAUGACUACAUGCAAAAAAGGAGAAUGAUCCAAAUGCUUAACUACAGAGAGAUCUUCCUUCAGUCACGCCACAAAGGAAGUCGCUAUCAGGAUUCUCCUCAAUCACCUUUUCUCAAAGAACUUUGCCCAAGUUAUAUCCAUCUAGAAACAAAGUCAAUUUAAUUUUCACCACAUGGCAACUCCAAGUGAAAUUCAAAGAAUAUCGACCAUUGUACUUGGUCCUUUUUCAGAUUUCACUAGAACUGUAUUGGACUGUGGGGCAUUGUCUUCAAAUUCAACAGCCUGAAGAAACUUGUCCUGAUACUCACUAGAUUCUGGAAAAUAUAUUGUACUAUGAUUUAACAUAAUUUUAAAAAUAAUUUAAAACGUGUUUGGGAUGAAUAGUAUCCAAUAAACUGGAAAAUCCACCAGUCCAGCUCUACAGAAGUCCCAAAACUGCUAGUUUAUUGGACCUUUACUGUACAGCAAACAGAUUUUGUGCCUCCACAAAAUCCUCCAAAUUCAGUGGAGCCAGUGUUGGCAGCAUUGGCAUCAUUAGAUUGGUUCUGUUGGACAAGUCCUAAUGUACACAUGGAUUAACAGCUUCCUAAAGAAAAAACACUUUGUUCUGAGCACUGGUGUGGAAGAGAUGACCAGAUGGACAGAAAGCAAAAACAAAUGAAUGUUCCCAACGUUUCUUGGGGGAAAAAGUCAACAUCCUCACUGACUUCUGUGAACCCUGGUCCAUAACCACUUACAAUGCAGAAUGAACAUUUGUGAAAAUUUAGUUCACAUGAAUGGAAAGCAUGGGGGCUAAAUGGAACCACCCAAAGGAAAACACCACCUUGCAAACUACCUACUUGUCAGGCACCUCCUGCCUCAAAUGUGAUUGAGUUUACAAGUAGCAUAUUGGCCUCGUUGCUACCUCAGAAACCAUGGAACUGGUGUUACCUUUGAUCCCAACAAACCACAUCGUAAAAAUGUGUUGACAAGUAGACUCAUCAUGCUGUGGUAAAACCAUAAGACAUUGGAGCAGAAUUCAGCCCAUCAAGUCUGCUCUGCCAUUCAAUCAUGGCUGAUUUAUUUUCCUUCUCAACCCUAUCCUCCUGCCUUAUUUCUGUAACUUUUGAUGCUAUUACUAAUUAAGAACCUAUCGUCCUCCAAUUUAAAUAUAAUUUGAUGAGAAGAAUUGUGAAGAAUUUCAAUUCUUCAGUAAGUAAGAAAAUUUAAUGUAUAUUUAAAAUCAGGCAGAGAUCUGUGUGUCUCUCCAGGAUUUCAGAAAGGAUUUUUUUUUCAUAGUUGGUUGGAAAACACCUCUACAAAUGAAUGACACUGUAUAAAAGGCAUUUCCUUCUGUUUAUUUUUAAACGUCAUAAAAUAAAGUCAUCCCAAACCACA
Hypanus sabinus (Atlantic stingray) is the source of this 2266-nucleotide long non-coding RNA. RefSeq lists it as uncharacterized. The transcript has 3 exons. Lineage: Eukaryota; Metazoa; Chordata; Chondrichthyes; Myliobatiformes; Dasyatidae. The record is from RefSeq and is a predicted model, not a curated record.